AAUUCAAAAACGGAAAUGAAAAAUAUGGAUCCAACACGUAUCCUAGCGCGUUUUUCAUCAUCUUCAGCAAACAAAUUCCAGAAAAAUCACGAAGAACAAAUUUCAACCAAAAUUGACAAAUGAUACAUAAAAAUCACCAGCAAAUCACGUACAUCAUGAAUAUGAAGUUAGUUUGACCUAACUCUUUCUACACAGCACGGAUCGAUCGAAAAUAGAUUCCACAUCCAAACUUAAAUCCACGAUUUCUC
RNAcentral lists this long non-coding RNA (248 nucleotides) under Lathyrus oleraceus (garden pea). RNAcentral's name for it is "Pisum sativum (pea) long non-coding RNA (PSAT_LNC004610)". The record is from RNAcentral. Lineage: Eukaryota; Viridiplantae; Streptophyta; Magnoliopsida; Fabales; Fabaceae.